Molecule: ribosomal RNA, 253 nt
Filed under: uncultured bacterium
Lineage: Bacteria
Description: partial 16S ribosomal RNA
Rfam family: Bacterial small subunit ribosomal RNA
Source: RNAcentral
UACGUAGGUGGCAAGCGUUGUCCGGAAUUAUUGGGCGUAAAGCGCGCGCAGGCGGUCCUUUAAGUCUGAUGUGAAAGCCCACGGCUCAACCGUGGAGGGUCAUUGGAAACUGGGGGACUUGAGUGCAGAAGAGAAGAGUGGAAUUCCACGUGUAGCGGUGAAAUGCGUAGAGAUGUGGAGGAACACCAGUGGCGAAGGCGACUCUUUGGUCUGUAACUGACGCUGAGGCGCGAAAGCGUGGGGAGCAAACGGG